UCGGGGUACUCGAGCGGCGAACGGGUGAGUAACACGUGAGUAAUCUGCCCUUGGCUUCGGGAUAGCCACCGGAAACGGUGAUUAAUACCGGAUAUGACUGCCUCAUGCAUGUGGGGUGGUGGAAAGUUUUUCGGCCAGGGAUGUGCUCGCGGCCUAUCAGCUUGAUGGUGAGGUAAUGGCUCACCAUGGCUUCGACGGGUAGCCGGCCUGAGAGGGUGACCGGUCACACUGGGACUGAGACACGGCCCAGACUCCUACGGGAGGCAGCAGUGGGGAAUAUUGGACAAUGGGCGGAAGCCUGAUCCAGCAACGCCGCGUGAGGGAUGACGGCCUUCGGGUUGUAAACCUCUUUCAGUACCGACGAAGCGCAAGUGACGGUAGGUACAGAAGAAGCACCGGCCAACUACGUGCCAGCAGCCGCGGUAAUACGUAGGGUGCGAGCGUUGUCCGGAAUUAUUGGGCGUAAAGGGCUCGUAGGCGGUUUGUCGCGUCGGGAGUGAAAACCAGGUGCUUAACACCUGGCUUGCUUUCGAUACGGGCAGACUAGAGGUAUUCAGGGGAGAACGGAAUUCCUGGUGUAGCGGUGAAAUGCGCAGAUAUCAGGAGGAACACCGGUGGCGAAGGCGGUUCUCUGGGAAUGACCUGACGCUGAGGAGCGAAAGUGUGGGGAGCGAACAGGAUUAGAUACCCUGGUAGUCCACACCGUAAACGUUGGGCGCUAGGUGUGGGGUCCAUUCCACGGAUUCCGUGCCGCAGCUAACGCAUUAAGCGCCCCGCCUGGGGAGUACGGCCGCAAGGCUAAAACUCAAAGGAAUUGACNGGGGGCCCGCACAAGCGGGCNGGAGCAUGNCGGAUUAAUUCGAUGCAACGCGAAGAANCCUUACCCUGGGKUUKRCAUACACCCUGCCGCUCCAGAGAUGGGGCUUCUUUUGGGGGUGUACAGGUGGUGCAUGGCUGUCGUCAGCUCGUGUCGUGAGAUGUUGGGUUAAGUCCCGCAACGAGCGCAACCCUCGUUCUAUGUUGCCAGCACGCCCUUCGGGGUGGUGGGGACUCAUAGGAGACUGCCGGGGUCAACUCGGAGGAAGGUGGGGAUGACGUCAAGUCAUCAUGCCCCUUAUGUCCAGGGCUUCACGCAUGCUACAAUGGCCGGUACAAAGGGCUGCGAUCCCGUAAGGGGGAGCGAAUCCCAAAAAGCCGGUCUCAGUUCGGAUUGGGGUCUGCAACUCGACCCCAUGAAGUCGGAGUCGCUAGUAAUCGCAGAUCAGCAACGCUGCGGUGAAUACGUUCCCGGGCCUUGUACACACCGCCCGUCACGUCACGAAAGUCGGCAACACCCGA
This 1338-nucleotide ribosomal RNA is filed under the name Nocardioides sp. Its description in RNAcentral is "bacterial SSU rRNA". Lineage: Bacteria; Bacillati; Actinomycetota; Actinomycetes; Propionibacteriales; Nocardioidaceae. The record is from RNAcentral.